AUACGGAGGCGGCUAGCGUUGUUCGGAAUUACUGGGCGUAAAGCGCGUGUAGGCGGAUCGUUAAGUCAGGGGUGAAAGCCCGGGGCUCAACCCCGGAACUGCCCUUGAUACUGGCGAUCUAGAGUCCGGAAGAGGUGGGCGGAAUUCCCGGUGUAGAGGUGAAAUUCGUAGAUAUCGGGAGGAACACCAGUGGCGAAGGCGGCUCACUGGUCAGGCACUGACGCUGAGACGCGAAAGCGUGGGGAGCAAACAGGAUUAGAAACCCUAGUAGUCC
RNAcentral lists this ribosomal RNA (274 nucleotides) under uncultured bacterium. RNAcentral's name for it is "partial 16S ribosomal RNA". It matches the Rfam family "Bacterial small subunit ribosomal RNA", at positions 523 to 796 of the family's 1533-position model. The record is from RNAcentral.